Molecule: long non-coding RNA, 1270 nt
Organism: Gallus gallus (chicken)
Lineage: Eukaryota; Metazoa; Chordata; Aves; Galliformes; Phasianidae
Source: Ensembl
UUUUGCUGGAGAUCCAUGUGAAUCUGAGGCCUUUUGAAGGUGUGAUCUGAAUUCAGCUGCAUUGAAACCAGUAUGUGCCAGUUACAUUUGCACCAGAGUUUUUUCUCUGCUAGGAGCUGUGGGAAUAAAUCAGGAAUGUAACUUAAGAGCACAUUUGUGACCACAGAAUGCCUUGAAGAUCAGGUGAAAACCUUAAAAUCUGUGGUUAGAGAAUCCUGACUAAGCAACAAGAAGAAAAAGCUGAAUGCCAUCACCGAGAGAGGAAGUUCAUCACUUACUGGAACUCUGCAGCGUAUUUGCUUCAGAGAUUUUUUUUUGUAACAAAGGGCUCAAAGUGCCUGAUCUUAUGUUCCUUUCACAGUGAUUUCAGUGCAAGUUGUGUCUAGGAUGAGUCAGAAAUGUUCCUCUUGAACUACGUCAGGACAUACAGAAAAGGUGUUAAUGCAAAUGAAUGACUGGGCUGUUUUUGAGCAGCCCUGCGGUUAGAAUCCUGAGAAACCCAAAUACCAAGGGAACCUGGCACUGUUUGGUGAUGUGUAUGACUUGCAGUUGAGACAAGAUUGUUUCUGUGUAAGAAACACUGAAAUAAGCAAUUGCAUUACAAAUAAGGUAUUGAUUACAAGGAAUUGAUUUCUCCAUGAUCAAGUUAAUGCAACAUCUCUAAACAGUAUAUUUUGGAUAUGCUUUAGAUGUUUAAAAAGUGUGUAGUUACAGAGCUAUGAGGAUAAGAUAGACUUUAUCAACAGACAUCCAAAUGCUGAUCUAAAAGACAUCAUCAAGUAGUUCUCCUUAAAUCUUCACAAAGGCAACAACAAUUUGUCUUAAACCUAAUUCUGCAAAUAUGUCAGUAUGAAAACCCAAAAUUAAUGGAGUUUGUUACAAAUUGAUAUUUUUUUCUAUAUUUGUUUCAUAAUUGCAAAUGAAGUCCUUUAAAUAACUUCCUACAUGGCAGAUUGGUUUCUACCACCCUUACAUGGCCUGUCAUCAAACAGUAAGAACUAGGAGCAUAUGUUAACCAUUGCCAGGAAUGAGGACUUCAGUGUAUGCAGUGGUGAACAUCCAACAGAGCACAUGACAAAUACCAUGGUUCAGAAGCAGAGGAGUAUAAAUGGAGAAGUAGAGGUCAUUGGAGGAUGUAGUUUGAAACAGUCUCUUUGCUGGGAUACUCUUUUUGUAUAAUUCUGUGGGAAUGGGAUUCAACCAACAGUGUUACAUUAAGAAAAACACAGGAAUACAAUGCCUGUUUCUUGAGAAUAAAUACAGUUUUGAC